Long non-coding RNA from Acinonyx jubatus (cheetah), 1631 nucleotides. RefSeq lists it as uncharacterized. Lineage: Eukaryota; Metazoa; Chordata; Mammalia; Carnivora; Felidae. The record is from RefSeq and is a predicted model, not a curated record. The transcript has 3 exons.
CCCCCCCCCCGUUUGCACAGGCUUAGAUGUGUGGCUCAGUCUAUGCAGAGCUGGGGGGAUGACUGAAAGCUGGGUGUAGAUCUGGCAUCCAGCCAGGAGGAAGAAGCAUUUUUUUUUUCCCUCCAAGAUAAUGUGUAACUCAGAGGCCACAAACUGCUGCCCCCAGGAUGGGACAGGAGAAUCAAACCGGAUCACCUGGGUUCCUGGCUGCAGCUUGUGCUGGGGGUAGUGGGGACAGCAAGGGACAUAUCUGGGCCUUUCCAGACUCCAAGUUCAGAACAAUUCCGGGACACCGCCCCCCCCCCCCCCCGCCCCCAGCCCAGUGCUCGGGGCUGAGCACUCGAUUAUGUGCUACCUGCCUGCGGUUCUGCGAUGGACAGUCCAGACUGAAAGGUGGCGGUCCCGGGGAGAUCAGAGCACCCAGCCUGGCCCAUGGGACAUCAGCCUGAAGGCUCUCCACACCCUGCUGUGGGCAGCAGCCCCUUCCCAGCCAAGCCGUCCUCCCCUGGGCUCCCUGAAGGGUGUUCUUCACAUACCCGGGUCAUGCAUACGGACCUGGCGCCGUGGGUUAGCACAGAAACGGAUUCACUCCUCUCUGAACCUCAAUGUCCUCAUCUUUAAAAUGGGGAUAAUCAUAGACCCACUUCCUGGGCUUGUGGCAGGAAGACACUGAGCUAAUAUGUAUAAAGCACCGGGCACAGCGUCUGGCAGGUGACGUUAGCUGUUUCCGUGAAUUUCCUUAGGUAAGAAUUGCUAUUUGAUCGCCAAGUUUUACUGCCCCGCUAUGUUCCCCACCCCAGCUGAAGCUCUUUCUCGCCGCUGCCCUGCCCAGGAGGGGGAAAUGUUUGUCUGUGUUUGUCUCAGACAGGUUUGUGCCUGCUUAACCUCAGGGCCCUGGCCCCUUCCCCAGAGUACGAGAUGGUGUCUUAUCCUCCGCUGCUGCCUCUGACGUGCUCCACAGUGACUCCUUCCCCCGCCCUAGUGGCCUUUGAUGUGUCCAUGCAGUCAGAACUGUGCCCAGAGAACCGGCUGGCAGGGAACACGCGGUGAGGAGGGUGGCUGCCCGGCUGCCAAGGGGCUUGUCUGGGUCAAUGCUGUGCUCCUCCGUGAGGGGGACGACUUGGCUCUCGGGACAAGGUGACAGCAGGGAGGCCUUCAUGGUGGUGGAGUUAGAGUUGGGGCGGGGUGGGGAGCUGGACAGGGAAGCAAUGAGAGGCUUGCGCAGAAAACGUCGUCUUACCCUACAGGACCCAGAAAACAGGCGAGGUCCAAAGCGGCCUUGGGUGGGGGCCUCGGCUUCCGGUGGGGACCCCAGCGCCCUGCAGAACAGGUGACAGACCUGCGCUGACCAGCCCCCGGUUAAUGAUCUUGAGACCGGAACAGAAAGGCCUACACCUCAUCUGAGAUUCUCAGCGCACCUGUGACCUUUGUGCCGCGUGUCUUGAAGCAAUCGAAGAACCAGAAGGUCCUAGACCACUCUGCGGCACAGUGAGAGGUGCUUCAGGAACCUUCUCUGGACACUGGAGGUGAUGUCAUUGUGAGUGCUUCCUCCAAAAUGCUGUGACGAGACCACUUGUUAGUUCCGUAACUGAGUGAGUUACUCGACUGCUCUGUGUCUGAGUUUUCUCAUC